RNAcentral lists this transfer RNA (90 nucleotides) under Duodenibacillus sp. RNAcentral's name for it is "tRNA-Ser". It matches the Rfam family "tRNA". From Rfam's summary of the family: Transfer RNA (tRNA) molecules are approximately 80 nucleotides in length. Their secondary structure includes four short double-helical elements and three loops (D, anti-codon, and T loops). Lineage: Bacteria; Pseudomonadati; Pseudomonadota; Betaproteobacteria; Burkholderiales; Sutterellaceae. The record is from RNAcentral. RNAcentral also lists the same sequence under 3 other names.
GGAAGGGUGGCAGAGUGGUUUAAUGUACCGCCCUGGAAAGGCGGCGUAUCCAAUCGGGUACCGAGAGUUCGAAUCUCUCCCCUUCCGCCA